Molecule: long non-coding RNA, 812 nt
Organism: Sorghum bicolor (sorghum)
Lineage: Eukaryota; Viridiplantae; Streptophyta; Magnoliopsida; Poales; Poaceae
Exons: 3
Source: RefSeq, a predicted model, not a curated record
AGAUCACGGGAACUGCUUAAAGGCGGCCGAACGUCUCGCUCGCCGUUCGGUCAGCGGCUCCGGCCUCCGGCCUCCGGGGGUUCUACUCGACCACACCAACGGCCGCUCGGGUGAAGGGAUCACUCAUUGUCCGCGCGCUGCCGCCGCACGUCGGAGCUGAUAAACUUGCCCCGCCGCCCGUGCAUCGUGCUCGUGCAGUGCAGCCAGCCGUUCUGGAGCCAACAGCCGAGCCCUCGGUGUAUCUCGCCCGCGCCGGCAGCAGUUCCCUCAGGCCACCGCGGGCCCCAACAAACCUCUCCGCUCGGCUGCGGCACCGGUAGGCUUAUCUGGCAGUACCCAUGCUGGCCGCCUUCGGGAAGUCAAGUCUUUGGCGGAUGCUGCAACUUGUACGCCUGAGCCAGGAACAGUGUUAUACUUCAAUAAUGAAAUAUCUCGGCCCUUCAAUUGCUCUUAUAUAAUACUAUAGUUUUGAUAUCAUUGGGCAUCCAUCAGAUGACGGCCGUUAGAACUGGCAACAGAAGUUUGUUGGGGUCAACCACAAGCUACGCAUAUUUGUCAACAUCAUCAUAUUUGUGAUUGUAGGAGUAAUAUUUGUUUUCUUGGACGUUCUGUUCAUGAAUGAGAAAUCAAGAAUGAUUGGGUAUAUUAGCCUAUUGUUAAUUCAAUGAGGUUGUGCCCAUCCUUUUCGGGACGGGGACGUGUUGUCGUGUUGAGACUCAUUUGAGCAUUCCUGUUCGUUUGAACUUAUCAGCUGUCAGCUAUCCAGCAGUAUUUUUCUUUUAUAAUAAAUUAGUCAACAGUACUUUUUAUCA